RNA transcript from Ochotona princeps (American pika), 2173 nucleotides. It is a transcript of the gene named myelin protein zero like 2, with no coding region annotated. The record is from RefSeq and is a predicted model, not a curated record. The transcript is spliced from 7 exons. Lineage: Eukaryota; Metazoa; Chordata; Mammalia; Lagomorpha; Ochotonidae.
UGCUGAGUUUUGGUGUUCGCCGGGUAGAGGGUGAGGGGGAGGGAGGAGCAGGACGCCUGGAGCUCGAGCCCCACCUUUCAUUCCUGCACUGAGCCCCGGGCCAGCGGCAUGACUCAACGGGCGCUCAGAUUCCCAUAGGUGAGGGACUUGGCUCUUUCCCCCCCGCGAGAACGCCGUGCCUGCUCCCAGAGUGGCCGUGAGUGUGUCGGCGCGCCCCGUCUGCCCGGUCUGGUCUCUGGAGGCCAGCCUGGGUUUCCCUCAUGUAUGGCAAGAACCCCACGCGCGUGUUUUUGCUACUCCUUGGCUUACAGCUCACAGCUCACUGGCCUACGGCGGCAGCUGUGGAAAUUUACACCUCCCGGGUGCUGGAGGCUGUUAACGGGACUGAUGCACGCUUAAAAUGCACUUUCUCCAGCUUUGCCCCCGUGGGCGACGCGCUCACGGUGACCUGGAAUUUUCGUCCUCAGGAUGGAGGGCCAGAGCAGUUUGUAUUCUACUACCAUGUGGAUCCCUUCAAGCCCAUGAGCGGGCGGUUCAAGGACCGGGUGGCUUGGGACGGGAACCUUGAGCGCUAUGAUGUCUCCAUCUUGCUCUGGAAGCUGCAGUUCGAUGACAAUGGGACGUACACCUGCCAGGUGAAGAACCCACCUGAUGUGGAUGGGCUGAUCGGGGAGAUCCGGCUGAGCGUCGUGCACACUGCACGCUUCUCUGAGAUGUACUUCCUGGCUCUGGCCAUUGGCUCAGCCUGUGGACUGAUGAUCAUCAUUGUGAUCGGGGUGGUCCUCUUCCAGCAUUUCCGGAAAAAACGAUGGGCCGAGGAAGCUAAUAAAGUGGUGGAGAUACACUCAAAAGAAGAGGAAAGGCUCAACCAAGCAAAAAAGGUGUCAGUGUAUUUGGAAGAUAUAGAUUAACAUUCCUAGAAGGAGAUUCAGAUGUGGAGUUCCGGUUCCAGGCCUCCAUCUGGCCCAGAUCUUACAGUUGCAGGAAGCUGAAGGUUUCCAAGAACAAGAUUCCUGGUAGUCCUGGAAGUUAAUGGAAACACAGCUUUGGCUUUUCCCUUGUGACCUGUUUUCUAACCAGUCCUGCAUCAGAGAACCACCUAGAUAAGCAACAGGUGCCUGGAGACUCUCCAGGACUCUUCCUGAACAAACACCACCAGAUUCACAAGCCUCACGGAGAAGGUUUUAUUUGACUGCAGAGCACACAUAUUGCUCAAAUGCUCAGUAGCUUUUGAAAACUGAGAAGCCACUUUUUUGUUCCUAAUCUUGAUCCUUCAGGAUUAUGACUUAUGUACCCAUUUAUUAACAGUCAAUCCUAAACUCAAAUUGUCAAAGCAGCAGCUGGAUUUUUAUGGUUCACCUUUAGCAGGGAACACAACUUUUACUGGAUUUCUUCCAACGUCUCAGGCGACAGGUUUUGUUUCUGUUGGUCACUCCAAGGCUUACAAUAGCACGAAGUCCAAAUUACAUAACAACUACACAGAGUUCCGGACAGGAUUAUAGCCGGGCAAAUGGCACUUCAGGAUGACUCAUUUGUCACCUUUUGUCUGUGUUGUGGAAAGUAAUCAAGAGCAGAGAUUCUUUUGUUGACAGAGGUUCACUAUGUCUCCCUGCCUCGACUGAAUGAUCUACAACAGAUCCAAGUCUGUGUUCAUUUGCACUCUGGAAUCAUUCGGGAGUCGCACAGAAGGCUUCUGAAGUACUGUAUUAUGUGCUCAGAAAACUGAGGGUGAGGGCUGGUGGUGAAAAAAACCCAACUCCUAAGUGAUGAUCUUGCACAGUCGUUCACAAACCUCUAACUGGAAGAGAUGAUUUACAUUCCUCUCUUUUUUUUUUUUGUAUCAAAACUACUUUAAUGGAAUGAAUUUUAUUCUUUGUUCCUUUAAAUUCUUAGGUAAAGCAGUCUGUCAGUUGGCUAACAAACAGUACCAUUUACAAAGUGCCUAGUUUCUUUCUAAACUUAAACUACAGCAACAUUUAUUUAAAAGAUAGAAAGUAUCUGAAAAUUUUAAGGGCUUGAUCCAUUCUUAAAGCUUAGUAUUUUCAGUUUUUACUUCUCUUUUUUACUGGCUGGACUGCAGCUGUUAUGUCUUAUUAAUGAACUAGAAUUUUCAAAUAGAUUAUCUGUAGUUAAAGGUGCUGGGCCUUGAUUUGUUUUCCAAUAGUAUGUUUUU